GAACGCCCUUUGUCUCGCAAAAGAGGGAGGGAGUGGCGGACGGGUGAGUAACACAUGGGUGACCUACCCCGCAGUGAGGAAUACCGGCGAGAAAUCGCCGACAAGACCGCAUAGGCUCUUGUGGCUCGAGCCACGAGAGCAAAGUCUCGUAAGAGACGCUGAGGGAUGGGCCUGUGGCCGAUUAGCUAGUUGGGGGGGUAAGAGCCUCCCAAGGCCACGAUCGGUAGCUGGUCUGAGAGGACGAACAGCCACACUGGGAUUGAGAACGGCCCAGACUCCUACGGGGGGCAGCAGUGAGGAAUUUUCCGCAAUGGGGGCAACCCUGACGGAGCAACGCCGCGUGCAGGAAGACGCUUUUCGGAGUGUAAACUGCUUUUCUGUGGGACGAGCGUGGACGGUACCACAGGAAGAAGCCCCGGCUAACUACGUG
Molecule: ribosomal RNA, 430 nt
Filed under: uncultured bacterium
Lineage: Bacteria
Description: bacterial SSU rRNA
Rfam family: Bacterial small subunit ribosomal RNA
Source: RNAcentral